RNAcentral lists this long non-coding RNA (674 nucleotides) under Homo sapiens (human). RNAcentral describes it as "non-protein coding lnc-SAMD12-1:2". Lineage: Eukaryota; Metazoa; Chordata; Mammalia; Primates; Hominidae. The record is from RNAcentral.
AGAAGUCCCUCACCAAGAUGAGAACCAUAAGAUGGAAGAGGCAUGGAUCUGAGAGUCACCAUUUAGGAACACCGGACCCACAGCCAACUGUAUAAUCUCCUAUGAAAGAACAAAAAAUGUAUCACCCCCACACCUCAAAAGAGUGACGGGCCCUAAUCCUUAGGUCUACAUUCCAGGUUGCAGAGUCAAAAGAGCUUGCACUGUUGCUUCCUCCACCCACCUCUUCAACAGCCAGGAGCAGAAGAAUUCCCUAAUGAUAACUCCUAAAGAGACACUUAAAGUUCAAAGCUCUAGCACAUGAUGAAAGUAAGUUGAAUGACCUAAAGAGGAGAAAUAUGGAGAUGGUGCACCCUGACGAUUAGGAAGGGAAGCUCCAAGGCUUCUGAAAGAGUGAAUCUCCCGAACUUAAAUAAGAUAAUGAUGCUAAAUGCCCUACACAAAAUGGAAUCUCUCUGAGACAAGCCGGUCCUCAAAAAGCCUGGCAACAUGGGCACUUAUAAGGACUUGGUGUUAAGCACAGAGCCUCGGUAACCUCAGCAAAGACACUUCGUGGCAGAGAUGGAAAAGUGGAGCCAUCUUGUCUUGAUGGAUCAUGAAACCAUGGUGGGGAGCCAGGGCCACAGGAAUUAUUGUGCACUAAUGACCCAUGCCUUGCCAGACAUAAAAGACUCAGA